This 561-nucleotide long non-coding RNA is filed under the name Chinchilla lanigera (long-tailed chinchilla). Its description in RNAcentral is "lncRNA (ENSCLAG00000026727.1)". The record is from RNAcentral. Lineage: Eukaryota; Metazoa; Chordata; Mammalia; Rodentia; Chinchillidae.
CCUAGACUCCGCCCCUUGCCUGUCCCAGGUCUCCACCCUCAGCAGCACUUUUCUGCUCCCUAAGUGUCUCUGGCAUCCAUGUCAUUUGUCCUUACCUCUGAUGCUCACAGGCAUGGGACACAUACCUUCCCUGCACAACCAUGCCGUCUUUCAGCUGGAGUCAGGUCACAGUGAUAGGCCAGACUCCUGUGCUGGUUAUGAGGCCACCCAGGACAAGGCAGUGGCUGCUGGACAUGACCUGGAGCUUGGGGAGCCAGAAUCUCCAUCAUCAGGUCCAAGGACUUGCAGGCCUGCACCUCCUAAAUGGAAUAAAGAGUUCUUCUGGCAAAGAUAUACAAUGAAACAAGCUACAUGAUUAUAAAGGCCUUGUUCCUUUGGAUAAGCUUAUACAGCCUAGAAGGGCUUCUCUGAGCCAGUAGGGUAGUGAGCUCUGGGUGGCCCACGCUGUCUCUGAGGAGGCCUAGGCCUGGGAAGGAGCCAGAAACCUGGAAGCUCUUCAUGAACUGCUCCUCUCAGAUCAGAAGCCUGUUUAGGCUGCUCUGAGAUGAGGGAAAACAGGCU